Molecule: long non-coding RNA, 829 nt
Filed under: Macaca fascicularis (crab-eating macaque)
Lineage: Eukaryota; Metazoa; Chordata; Mammalia; Primates; Cercopithecidae
Description: lncRNA (ENSMFAG00000056215.1)
Source: RNAcentral
AGCAUAGAGAUAUAAAUAUUAAAAAUAUACAAAUAUUUCUCUGUAUAAAUAUCUAUAUCUCUAUUAAUAUCUAUCUCUCUCUCUCUCUGUAUCUGCUUUUGAAAGCAACUGGAAUUGAGGCCUAUUAUUGCAGCAUAUCCUAGCCCACACAUCCCUAUACAACACUGAGGUUGUCAGCUGAAAAGAUGGACAGAACAUCAUUGGGCUACUCAAAGAGCUAUGCUCAGGGCCUUCCCAUCUCUGGUCUUCCAGUAAGGUGAGGGCUGGGAGCUGAAGAUGGAAGGAGCAGCACAGGUCAACAUGUGAGAGAUAUGACAAGUGGCCAUUCCUAACUGAUGUCAUCAAGGUGCCUCUAAACAUAGGAUUUAGGCCAAGCACCUCUAGUUCUCCAAAAGCAGUUGGGAGAAGAUGCAGAUACAGGUCAUGAACUACACUACCAGGAGGACACCUUUGCAGAUUCAAUCCACUUCGGGAGACAUUCUGGAAACUCAGUUGUAGGAUCUAGUGAACCUGCCAUUUUCAGGAGACAUUUCAUCAGACAAUCAAGUGAAUUCACAUCCCAGAAGAAAAUAUGUAAACAUUCAUAUCAGAUAAAAACCUUAAGAAUUAAAUCUGGAAGACCUGAAUUUCAGUCUUAAGGCUACUUCUUUUUUUUUUUUUUUUUUUUUUUUUACCGGCUCAGGGAUUAGUCCAUGAUAUUCUGUAUUGCAGUUUCCUUUCUUGUAAAAUAGAGAAUGUAACACUAGCCUUUCACACAACACUAGGUCAUGAAGAUCUAAUGACAUCAUGAAUGUGAAAGCAUUUUGGAAACCCAAAAGUUUAAUAAAAG